This is an RNA transcript of Loxodonta africana (African savanna elephant), 8143 nucleotides long. It is a transcript of the gene named zinc finger protein 207, with no coding region annotated. The transcript is spliced from 13 exons. The record is from RefSeq and is a predicted model, not a curated record. NCBI's taxonomy places the organism in Eukaryota, Metazoa, Chordata, Mammalia, Proboscidea, Elephantidae.
AGCGGCUAACGAGGCCGUCGGCCAUUUUGUGUCUGUUUCCUGUGGGACGUGGUGGUAGCCGUUGGGUCGGAAAAGUGAGCCGUUUUCGUCUCGUUUUUCCUGCUUGUUUUCUUCUCCUUUUUGUCAGUAGAGCGCGGUUAUGGGUCGCAAGAAGAAGAAGCAGCUGAAGCCGUGGUGCUGGUAUUGUAAUAGAGAUUUUGAUGACGAGAAAAUCCUUAUACAGCACCAAAAAGCAAAGCAUUUUAAAUGUCAUAUAUGUCACAAAAAAUUGUACACAGGACCUGGCUUAGCUAUUCAUUGCAUGCAGGUACAUAAAGAGACAAUAGAUGCUGUACCAAAUGCAAUACCUGGGAGAACAGACAUAGAGUUGGAAAUAUAUGGUAUGGAAGGUAUUCCAGAAAAAGACAUGGAUGAAAGACGACGACUUCUUGAACAGAAAACGCAAGCAGAGAGCCAAAAAAAGAAGCAACAAGAUGAUUCUGAUGAGUAUGAUGAUGAUGACUCUGCAGCAUCAACUUCAUUUCAGCCACAGCCUGUUCAGCCUCAACAAGGCUAUAUCCCUCCAAUGGCACAGCCAGGUCUGCCACCAGUCCCGGGGGCACCAGGAAUGCCUCCAGGCAUACCUCCAUUAAUGCCAGGUGUUCCUCCACUGAUGCCAGGGAUGCCUCCAGUUAUGCCAGGCAUGCCACCUGGAUUGCAUCAUCAGAGAAAAUACACCCAGUCAUUUUGCGGUGAAAACAUAAUGAUGCCAAUGGGUGGAAUGAUGCCACCUGGACCAGGAAUCCCACCUCUGAUGCCUGGUAUGCCACCAGGUAUGCCUCCACCUGUUCCACGUCCUGGAAUUCCUCCAAUGACUCAAGCACAGGCUGUUUCAGCACCAGGUAUUCUUAAUAGACCGCCUGCACCAACAGCAACAGUUCCUGCUCCUCAGCCUCCAGUUACUAAGCCUCUUUUCCCCAGUGCUGGACAGAUGGGGACACCUGUAACAAGCUCAAGUACAGCUUCAUCCAAUUCAGAAAGUCUGUCUGCAUCUUCUAAAGCUCUGUUUCCUAGCACAGCACAAGCUCAGGCAGCUGUCCAAGGACCUGUUGGUACAGAUUUCAAGCCUUUAAAUAGUACCCCUGCAACAACUACAGAACCCCCAAAGCCUACAUUCCCUGCUUAUACUCAGUCUACAGCAUCAACCACUAGUACAACAAACAGCACUGCAGCUAAACCAGUGGCUUCAAUAACAAGUAAGCCUGCUACACUUACAACAACCAGUGCAACCAGUAAGUUGAUCCAUCCAGAUGAGGAUAUAUCACUGGAAGAGAGAAGGGCACAGUUACCUAAAUAUCAGCGUAAUCUUCCUCGACCAGGACAGGCUCCUAUUGGUAAUCCACCCGUUGGACCAAUUGGAGGUAUGAUGCCACCACAGCCAGGCAUCCCACAGCAACAAGGAAUGAGACCCCCAAUGCCGCCUCAUGGUCAGUAUGGUGGUCAUCAUCAAGGCAUGCCAGGUUACCUUCCUGGCGCAAUGCCGCCAUAUGGGCAGGGACCGCCAAUGGUGCCCCCAUACCAAGGUGGGCCUCCUCGACCUCCAAUGGGAAUGAGACCUCCUGUAAUGUCGCAAGGUGGCCGUUACUGAUCUUACUUCAUCCAGUCUAAUAGGUUUGGAGAUUAAACCUUUUCUCAACUUGUGCUGUUUAUAUAGCCAAGCUUCCGUCAAUUAAGGCUUCAUUGUGACUUUAACAUUAUCUUCCCACAUACCAGGAACUAUUGGACAUUUAUUUUACAUGGGAAAAAUUAUUUGGAAUAAUAAAGCAGGAACUUUUCCUGAAGUUGCAAUUUAUACUGUAUGGCUUCUUUUUCAUGUUUCAUCUAGGUUUUUAGAAGUGAAGUAUAGUAAAUUUGGUUCGUUAAAUUGUGAAGGCGCUGGAAUUACAUGAACAUACCACCUUAAUAAAGCCCUGCCAUAGGACAGGCUGAGGCUGAGUCUCAGUGUUGCCCUGUUCAGUCUGAGGCAAGUGGGAUUUAUUUUAUUCCUUAUGGGGGCUUUCACAGCUUUAUGGCUGUUGGAUAUUUAUGUCCCCAAACUUGCAGCAAGUUUGGUGAAGGCCCCUAAAUUUAAUUAAAUUUAGGAUUUUUAUAAUUUUUUGGCAGAGAUGGCUCUAUAUUAAUAUUCACGUUUGACUGUGGUGUUAAGAAAGAAGAGCACUUGAUAAUGCUAUUUCACAUGAUUUACUUUGUAUUACAUAGUGUUUAACAACCUCGGUAAAGCUUGAGUUACUUAAUGUAUCGAACUUUAGCAAAUUGACAAAAUUUGAUAAUCUUGAUUUGGAGGCAUGAAACACUUCAUUCAAAUUUUCUACUUUCCCUUUUAGGAAGAUAUUACUGGUUAUUUUCUCCCCAAACUACUAAAUUUAACCUCAAGGAUAAGUUUAAUCAUUGGAAUAACCACUGGAUACUGAAAUCUACAUUCUGAGUCUUAAACUUACGCACUGAACAUUAAGGUUGAAAGGUCAUCUGGAAGUGCUUGUGAUUUUUCAUAUUUUCAAACCUCACCACAUUAGAGCAAAUGUUAAUGUAGAGCCCUGUGAAGAGUGGGAAGGUGGGGUGGGUUUGUGUGUGAUUUGUAUGUAUGGCUGUAGGCUACUCAUGCAAUUUAAUAAAAGAAUAACAAAAGAGUUUGGGUUUUACAAGCCUGUCAGUAUAGAUUGACUAGUUUUCAGUAAGCUAAGCAAGUUGCAUCAUGUGGUAAAGUUACUAGUAUGUUAAAUAUGGUUUUAGAAUGCUUCUUUUGAGGUUCCUUUUUAGCCAUCCUGGACAAUAUUUUAUGCAGUAUGCACACAAGAAAAGUGUCCACUUUCGUUCCCAACUAAAAUUUGCUUUCGUUUGGUGAGAAAAGUUGUAUGUAUGUGUGUUUGCUGGAGAAGGUAAAGAGGGAAUUGAAAGAGAGGCCAAAACAUACACUUGGAUUGCCUUUGUUCUUCAUGACGAUUCUAUCCAGAUAGGAUUUCUUCUCUGAAGAAAUAACAACUAGUACAACCCGGAAUUGUGUUUCUAUGUGGCUUUAGUUCUUGGAAACAAAAAGAAAAAAAUACGUGUUAGUUAAGAGAAUCUCAAAUUUUGACCAGUUUAAUUAAAACAUGUGCUUUUAACUGUUGUAACUGAAUAGGUUAUCUUGAAAAAAUACUUAAACAAGAAUUUUGUUGCUUCCACAACAAAAUAUUCCAUUGGAAUAUUUUACAACCACCUCAGUAAUUACACUUUAUAAGACAGCUUGAUCGGAGAUAAUGUUUUCUCUCACACUUAUAACCCCUCAGUACAUUGAAAUCUCUUGAAGCUGCUUGUCCUAAUUCUGAUAAUGAUCAUUGAAACAAUUGAAGUAGGUUCUUAUUUACUCAGUACUGGGGUGGGAGUAAGAUUUCUAAGAGUGGCAUGAUCUGUUGAAGAGGAUACAGAUAUCUAACUUAAGAUGUAGUUCUUUUGCUGUCUUUGUAGUUCUGUGCCUCAGAUAAGAUUUUGAGAUGUAACUUCCGAGCAUCCAUAAAGUCCACUGGUAAAAAUGGAUAAAUGAAAGAAAAUAUUGAAGUGUCCCUUCUUUACUGAGCUAAAAUUUUGUCUAAGCAUAAACAUUUGUGUUGGUUAGAGGAUAGAAAAUUUUUUUUAUUAAGCGGAUAUGUCUUUUUAGAAAACAGUAUUUACUUGAUAAUGAAUAACCUUUGCAGUUUAUUCCAAAAUGAAACUGGUUUUCUCUUACUAUAACUUUUAUAGAAAUGUCAUCUGAAAAUGGGGUUUCACUUAUGCUACUACUGACUAUUGAGGACAGAGUUUUACAGUUACAAUUCUGGUAGCUGUCAUGUGACUUGACUAUUAGGGAAGGUUGCUCCCCCCUUUUUUUUUUUGCACUCCUUUUUUAGUAUUUUGCUUUCUCUCAUAAUUUCAAUAGGAACCUUUUGUAGUUUGUAGCAUAGAAAUCAUCUGACUUUUUUUGUGAUACUUUUCCGUAAAACAAGAAGCCUUUAUUUUAAUGGUGGUUGUAUAUAGUGUCAUGAAUAUAGUGGAUAGUCACAAUUUUAUAAUUAAUGCUAAGUUCUUAAAACUAUACUUUUAAUAUAGUAAGCCCUUAGUUUGAAGUUUCUGAAAUUUUUUUUUUUUUUUUAAACCUGUUCAUAUGAUGUAGUCUCGGGGAACAUAUUCUAUUAAGCAGAAUGUAAAAAGUCAGUUUAAGGCAGCAACUGGAGACCUAAAGGAAGCCUUUACUGAAGUUAAUUUGAACUCUUUUACUUGAAGCAAAUCGAACAAUAGUAUUAUAAAUCAUUAAAUGGAAACUUUCAUGGUUAGUUUUUUUUUAGGAGGCGUAAUCACCAGCUGUGUUAAUAAGAAUAUGUUUGUGUAUGUUUCAAUUUGACCAAAUUUAACUACAGAAGAUUCAUGUGUGUAAACUAUUUUAACAGUGGAUCAGUUACUUGGACCCUGCUCGUUAAUUCUGAACAUUGUAAUGGUGUUGUAAGGUUGUCGUACAACACAGCUUCAGUAAUGCAAAGUGUUUGCUCAGUGGUUUGUGUUAUGCUGUGUUUGUAAAAAGGUGGAAGUCCUUUAUUGGCGUUCGCUAAGCCCGCUGCCAUUGUUAAAACGUUUGGAGUCUUACCAUUAUUACGGUUACAGAAUCCUCAGAGUUACCUGCCUUCACCUUUGGUUAAAUUUAAGGAGAAUUUUGAGGAACUGGCAAUGAAGUUCAUUGAUGCCCAACUUGGAUAAAAAUGAAGAAUGAUGUUUCCCUAAGUUUACGACACACAGACCUUGAGUAUUUGGGAGAAGAGGUCAUUAUAUAGUAUAUUAGACUUGAGAACCUGAAAUGAAAUGAAAGAUAAUAGCAUUCCUGUUGUUGGUUUGCAUUUGUUACUGAGGUUUCACUAAAGUAUUUCUUUUCAUGUAGAUGUUUCUUAACAUUUUAUUCAUAAAUAGUUAAGGAGUUUAUUACUCAGAUCAAAACAAACAAGAUUUGCCACAUCAUUUCCCAGUCUCUACUAUUAGUAAAAUGAGGCUGCUUAACUACCCAAGUGGACCAAGGAAGGAGUUAUUUAUUAGUUCAAAAUUAUUAAGUUCCUGUAAGUUUGAGUUAAAAAAAAUAUGGCAUACCUAGUUAUGGAGCAGAAAGCUCCCCAUUGAGCUUUUAUUUAGUUAGUAUAGUCUUUAAGGAGAAGCAAUAGAAUUUGCUUUUCAGCCCAUGUUUUUAAAAUUGAAAAUCUCUAUUAUAAGCAAAUGAAAUCAAGUUUUUUUUUUUAAUUUAAUUAAAAACGAUUACAAAUUGUUUGCCCUGUGUGGUACCUGUGCUUAAAUUGAGAGAUUACCACAUGUUUAAGAGAUUAUUUUUUUCUUGCUUCCUGCUAUUCAUUACCCCAUUUUUUAGAGUAAACCAAAAUUCACAUCAUCAUUCACAUAUUGGAAUACCUAGUUUAUUAAAAUUGAGACGUCCGAGAGAGAGUGUUGUUAACUCAUUCUCAUAAGGUCACUCUAAAUUUAAUAGCUAAUGUAAGGUAACCUUGUAAGACUUAGGGAAGAAAGUUUUAUAUGUAUAAAUAUCAGGCUCUGAGGAAAUUUAAUGCACAUUGACUUUUUAAACUAUGGGUUGAACUCCUCAGUUUAACACAAUUUGUGUUUUUGUUAACUAGCAGCAGAAUUUCAGCAUUUGCUACUUACUGGUAGAGAAGAAAAAUCCCACAGCCCUGCCAGUACAGGUUAGUUUAAUCUGUAAGUACCUGAUGUUCCUAUUUUUUUCAAACAUAUCCAUAUAACCCACACAAAGGAAGAAAGCUGUGCAGUUACUUAAAUGUGAGUAUAACUAAUAAUAGACCCAUUGGACACUUAGAAACACUCAGCAUUUGGGCCAAAGCAGCUCUAGGUUUGCUAAAACUCAGUUCUAAUAAAGGUGUUAUACUGCUCCUUUAUUCACUGUCUGGUUGAGGUUGAACCAAAAUAGCUAUGUUUUACGUAAAAAGAAAAGACGGCAAAAUUUUUGAUUGACCUUGCCCAUGUUGGUAUAUAAUAUGGAGUCCCACAGGGCUUUGGGUCUGUCUUUUACGUAAACCGCUCCCAUGGUGGGUCUCAUACUCGCCCUUUAACUUUUUACAGUAUGAAUCAACCUCAGAAAAAAGAUGUUUGCUCAUUUUUAGCAAUGAUAAAAUGGUGUACAAUCAUAAUCUAGAAAAUGUUUUUUUACUGCUUUUUUCUUAAAUGUUUUUGGUAGCUCUUGCUGUUAAGUACUAAUUUUUUUUUGCUCAUCUUUUUUGUGAACUGUAACCUGUUGGUGCACCACUGUGGAUUCAUUUUACUUUGGACUAAAAAAUAACCUUAUUUUUUAAGUAUUCAAAUGAAAGCAGGCUAUCCAUCAAGAAAUCUAAACAGAUUCUUUGUGCAGUCCUUUUGAGGGUCAGUGGGAAUAUAAUGGGUAGUGAAAGAUGUAUUAAAAUUUUUAUUUCUCAUUCUAGCAAAGUUCAGUGUCUUGAAUCAUCCUGAGAGAUUUUCUUUAACCUUUAGAUACUGUGUUUCUUAUGUUGAUACAAACUUAAAAAACCAAGUGUAACUUAAUUUCUACAAGUAUGAACCAUCCUUCAAAUCUGUUGUUGUUAUUAGGUGCCGUUGAGUUGGUUCCAACUCACAGUGACCCUGUGUACAACGGAAUGAAACAGUGCCUGGUCAUGUGUCAUCCUUACAGUGGUUGAUAUGUUUGAGCCCAUUGUUGCAGCCACUGUGUCAGUCUCUCGCUGCAUUGACUUACUGACGUAUGGCUUCAAUAAUGUCUAAUUUGCGAAAAUAUGCACUAAAACUAACUGAUCUUGUGCAGCGAUUAGCCACUGAAAACAGACUGUCUGAAUGUCGUUUUAUAUAGAACUCAUGCAUUCGGUUAGCUAACUUAUAAAAUUGAUAAGAUAGCCACUUUUUUUUUUUUUAAUAAAAUUGCCUUGAGGGCUUAAGUUUCAUUGCCUUUCACAGUUUAAUCUAUAUAAGAAAUGGCGUAGACACAGUCGAAAUGGUUUUCCUUAAAAACCCUCUCUGUAAAGCUGUCUUUCUGGUGAGUACUAUCUUAUACUUUUGUAUGUCGCAAUUUUACCUUUUAUAAAUUAAUGGAAAUGAGGAACUUUGAUCAAAGAAGUGAACAAUCUGAAUGUCUACAUCUCUUUGGAUAUUACCUGAACCAGGAAUAUUAAGAAAGUGAUUACUGCUUGACAUUUUCCCACUAAUUCCUGGUUCACUUUUUUCUUAUCUUCACAUAGCAGACUAUAAAUAGCUGCAUAAACUUACUAUUUGUUUUGCAUAUGAUUCAUGUAAAUGGCGACAGUGAACUAUACAUGUAAAAAAUGUUGAAUUGUCAAAUAGGUUAUUUUUUUUUUAAAUUGUGUUUUAGGUCAAAGUUUACACAGCAAAUUAGGUUUUUAACAAUUUUUACAAUGUGUCAGAAUUCUCAUUAUUUCCAUUCCGUUUGUUCUGUUUUCCAUUGAUCUGAACUCCCUUUCCCUUCUUGCCUUCUCAUCUUUGCUUUUGGGUAAAUGUUGACCCUUUGGUCUUAUAGAGUUCAUUGUUUAAGGGAGCAUAUUACUGCAUAAACUUUGAUCGCAUAUUGUCUAGCACUGAAACUUUUUAAAUUCUAAUCUUAAGGUUUUCUGUUUAGUCGACAGUCAAAGUUUUUUCUCAGUGCUUUUGGUUCCUAUAUCGCAUAGGUGUUAAUUAAAAUACCCGAAUUUUUUUCUAUUCUUGUUGAAGCCGUUGCAGUGAUUUAUGGGCAAUUAAGCUGAGGUUAGGGUUGAAGGAGGGUUUACCUAAAUUGGUCAUGCAGACCAUUUGCUUACAAGGUCCUCUUUGAGGCUUGAAAUUUUCAAGUGUAUUGUUUCUUAAACAUUCUAACCCUGCAUGAAAUACUUGGGUUAGAAAUACUGAUUGGCCUCUGAGUAUAUUCAUAAUUUAUUCCCUCAGUGUAAUGCAUAAGUUUUUUCCCCUUCUGCUUUUUAGCCACAUCCUAGCUGAUGUCAAUAUAAGGAUGUUUUCACAUUGUAUUUCCUGCUGUGGUCUUUGCGAAUCAAUAAAAGAACAGUCAAAUCUGCUUUUUAGUAUGAGCAAUGGUAGUCUUCUAAAAUAAAUCUGAAGAUUGAUAUGUGCAUAU